ACUCCCCUUCAGCAGAGCAUCCACUACAGCUGGAACAAUACAGAUCACCAUGGCCCUGCGCAAGGAUGACACCGCUGGCUAUUACCUGGAGUAA
Molecule: small nuclear RNA, 94 nt
Filed under: Mus spretus (western wild mouse)
Lineage: Eukaryota; Metazoa; Chordata; Mammalia; Rodentia; Muridae
Description: predicted gene, 55846 (ENSMSPG00010046745.1)
Source: RNAcentral